CAUUCCUGCCAUGGUUGUUCAAAUCAGGGAACUCCUAGCAUUUCAGAUCCCCAGGGAUUUCAGCCAUGAAACUUUCAGUGGCAGAGGAACAGAUAUUACUUCUUCUCUCCUAUAUUCCCAAAGAAUCCAGCCCAUUGUAGAGAUUGAAUGGCAUUUGAGAAUAAAGAGUAGAGUUCAGUAGACAAAUCAGAGAUUAAGGAUAAAGAAAGUACAAUCUAUCUGCAAUCCUGCAGCAUUGUGUGGGUUACUGCAAUAUUAAAAUGGCAGAGUUCCCUGACCUCCCUUGCAGGACAAGUGACAGAGCAUUUACACCAUUAAUGUAGGUCCAUGAGGAUUAUGGACCCAGAGAAAGGAAUAACAAUAUCUUUUAAAAAUCUACAAAUGGAGAAGAUGAAAUAUAUGACAGGGCUGGAGGUCUGGUUCCAAAGGAAGAGGAAGAAAAGAGCC
Molecule: long non-coding RNA, 447 nt
Organism: Homo sapiens (human)
Lineage: Eukaryota; Metazoa; Chordata; Mammalia; Primates; Hominidae
Exons: 4
Source: RefSeq, a predicted model, not a curated record